Long non-coding RNA from Sander lucioperca (pikeperch), 585 nucleotides. RefSeq lists it as uncharacterized. NCBI's taxonomy places the organism in Eukaryota, Metazoa, Chordata, Actinopteri, Perciformes, Percidae. The transcript is spliced from 4 exons. The record is from RefSeq and is a predicted model, not a curated record.
GGUUUGUAAUAUCAUUCUUAACUUUCAAUAAAAGUGAAUGUUUAACCUAGAGGGAGCGGUGGUUAAGGGGCGGGGUUAUGUUAGGUGAUAUGGUUUAGGUGAGGUGUAUCUACGUAUGUUACCUGUGUGUUUGUGAGUCUCUGUGUUCACUUGUUUGGGAAAGCGCACAAGCAGGAGUCACAAUGGAUUGCGGUUCAAAGAAGAAGGAUAAGGGAGAGUGCAAAGACAAGUCUGGAGGUAAGGACAAGUCAAAGAACAAAGAUGGCAAAGACCACAAGAUGAAGGACAAAAAGAAAAAGGAAAAGAAGGAGGGGAAAAAAUCAGGCGACUCAUCUUCAUCCAGCAGUGACGGGGAAUGAUGCUUCCUGGGGGACAGGACUGCUCUUAGUCUAUUAUGAUGUUAUCUAUUGACAAAAUGACUGUAGUAGUUCUUUUUGUUCCUGUCCUUUCAUUUGUGUCAUGAAAACAUGGUCUUGUGUAAACAAAUCUGCUGAUUCCUAGAAAUAAAUGUUCCGACAACAAAAUGCCUGCAGGUUGUUUUUUUCCCUCAACUUCUUAUGUCAAGUAAAGUGUGUUUUCUUCACC